CCUGCCGGCGACCGGCGCACGGGUGAGUAACACGUAUGCGACCUGCCCCCCGCAGGGGGAUAACCGGGAGAAAUCCCGACUAUACCGCGUAACGCCGCGGACCUGCAUGGGUCUGCGGCCAAAGGAAGCGAUUCCGGCGGGGGAUGGGCAUGCGGCGCAUUAGCUAGUCGGCGGGGUAACGGCCCACCGAGGCGACGAUGCGUAGGGGUUCUGAGAGGAAGGUCCCCCACACUGGUACUGAGACACGGACCAGACUCCUACGGAAGGCAGCAG
This 273-nucleotide ribosomal RNA is filed under the name uncultured bacterium. RNAcentral's name for it is "partial 16S ribosomal RNA". It matches the Rfam family "Bacterial small subunit ribosomal RNA", at positions 84 to 354 of the family's 1533-position model. The record is from RNAcentral.